Molecule: ribosomal RNA, 484 nt
Filed under: uncultured bacterium
Lineage: Bacteria
Description: partial 16S ribosomal RNA
Rfam family: Bacterial small subunit ribosomal RNA
Source: RNAcentral
AUUGAACGCUGGCGGCAUGCUUUACACAUGCAAGUCGAACGGCAGCGCGGGCUUCGGCCUGGCGGCGAGUGGCGAACGGGUGAGUAAUGCAUCGGAACGUGCCCAGUAGUGGGGGAUAGCCCGGCGAAAGCCGGAUUAAUACCGCAUACGACCUGAGGGUGAAAGCGGGGGACCGGAAGGCCUCGCGCUAUUGGAGCGGCCGAUGUCGGAUUAGCUAGUUGGUGGGGUAAAGGCUUACCAAGGCGACGAUCAGUAGCUGGUCUGAGAGGACGACCAGCCACACUGGGACUGAGACACGGCCCAGACACCUACGGGAGGCAGCAGUGGGGAAUUUUGGACAAAGGGGGCAACCCUGAUCCAGCCAUGCCGCGUGCGGGAAGAAGGCCUUCGGGUUGUAAACCGCUUUUGUUCGGGAAGAAAUCCUUUGGGCUAAUACCCCGGGGGGAUGACGGUACCGGAAGAAUAAGCACCGGCUAACUACGUG